Molecule: ribosomal RNA, 489 nt
Filed under: uncultured bacterium
Lineage: Bacteria
Description: bacterial SSU rRNA
Rfam family: Bacterial small subunit ribosomal RNA
Source: RNAcentral
GACGAACGCUGGCGGCGUGGAUUAGGCAUGCAAGUCGAACGGUAGGAUACCUUCGGGGUAUCUGGGAGUGGCGAACGGGUGAGUAACACGUAGGUGAUCUACCCUCAAGAUUGGGACAACCCAGGGAAACUUGGGCUAAUACCGGAUGAAAGCAGCAGUGAUGUUGUUUGAAAGGUGGCGUAAGCUGCCGUUUGGGGAUGAGCCUGCGCUCUAUUAGUUAGUUGGCGGGGUAAAGGCCCACCAAGGCGAUGAUAGAUAGGCGGCCUUAACGGGUGGUCGCCCACACUGGGAUUGAGAUACGGCCCAGACUCCUACGGGAGGCAGCAGUCGAGAAUAGUCUACAAUGGCCGAAAGGCUGAUAGUGCGACGCCGCGUGAACGAAGAAGCCCUUCGGGGUGUAAAGUUCUUUUAUAUGUGAGCAGUGCUUUCUAUGUGAACAGCAUGGGGAGAGAGAUACUAGCAUAUGAAUAAGCAACGGCUAACUCCGUG